RNAcentral lists this transfer RNA (72 nucleotides) under Bos taurus (domestic cattle). It matches the Rfam family "tRNA". From Rfam's summary of the family: Transfer RNA (tRNA) molecules are approximately 80 nucleotides in length. Their secondary structure includes four short double-helical elements and three loops (D, anti-codon, and T loops). Lineage: Eukaryota; Metazoa; Chordata; Mammalia; Artiodactyla; Bovidae. The record is from Rfam by way of RNAcentral. RNAcentral also lists the same sequence under 3 other names.
UCCCUGGUGGCUCAGACGGUAAAGCAUCUGCCUGCAAUGAGGGAGACCCAGGUUCGAUUCCUGGGUCGGGAA